GUCGGCGACCACACCACGUUGAAAGCACCGGUUCUCCUCCUAUCAUCAAAGUUAAGCAACGUUGGGCUUGUUUAGUACUUGCAUGUUCAACAAAUAUGACAAAGGAAAUGGUUAUAUGUC
RNAcentral lists this ribosomal RNA (120 nucleotides) under Trichobilharzia regenti. The record is from RNAcentral. Lineage: Eukaryota; Metazoa; Platyhelminthes; Trematoda; Strigeidida; Schistosomatidae.